CAACACGUUUGCGUCGUGCCUCUCCGCUC
Molecule: small RNA, 29 nt
Filed under: Bombyx mori (domestic silkworm)
Lineage: Eukaryota; Metazoa; Arthropoda; Insecta; Lepidoptera; Bombycidae
Description: ovarian small RNA-12763
Source: RNAcentral